RNAcentral lists this ribosomal RNA (253 nucleotides) under uncultured bacterium. RNAcentral describes it as "partial 16S ribosomal RNA". It matches the Rfam family "Bacterial small subunit ribosomal RNA", at positions 524 to 776 of the family's 1533-position model. The record is from RNAcentral.
UACGGAGGGUGCGAGCGUUGUCCGGAAUCACUGGGCGUAAAGGGCGCGUAGGCGGCCUGAUAAGUAGGGGGUGAAAUCUUGCGGCUUAACCGCAAGGCUGCCUUCUAAACUGUCAGGCUAGAGCACAGUAGAGGCAGGUGGAAUUCCCGGUGUAGCGGUGGAAUGCGUAGAGAUCGGGAAGAACAUCAGUGGCGAAGGCGGCCUGCUGGGCUGUUGCUGACGCUGAGGCGCGAAAGCGUGGGGAGCAAACAGG